Molecule: ribosomal RNA, 461 nt
Filed under: uncultured bacterium
Lineage: Bacteria
Description: bacterial SSU rRNA
Rfam family: Bacterial small subunit ribosomal RNA
Source: RNAcentral
GAUGAACGCUGGCGGCGUGCCUAACACAUGCAAGUCGCGCGAUGAAGUUUCCUUCGGGAAAUGGAUUAGCGGCGGACGGGUGAGUAACACGUGGGUAACCUGCCUCAUAGUGGGGGAUAGCCUUCCGAAAGGGAGAUUAAUACCGCAUAACAUCAUUAGAUGGCAUCAUUUAGUGAUCAAAGGAUUUAUUCGCUAUGAGAUGGACCCGCGUCGCAUUAGCUAGUUGGUAGGGUAAUGGCUUACCAAGGCGACGAUGCGUAGCCGACCUGAGAGGGUGAUCGGCCACAUUGGGACUGAGACACGGCCCAGACUCCUACGGGAGGCAGCAGUGGGGAAUAUUGCACAAUGGGGGAAACCCUGAUGCAGCAACGCCGCGUGAGUGAUGACGGUCUUCGGAUUGUAAAGCUCUGUCUUUGGGGACGAUAAUGACGGUACCCAAGGAGGAAGCCACGGCUAACUAC